GACGAACGCUGGCGGCGUGCUUAACACAUGCAAGUCGAGCGGUAAGGCCCUUUCGGGGGUACACGAGCGGCGAACGGGUGAGUAACACGUGGGUGACCUGCCCUCAGCUCUGGGAUAAGCCUGGGAAACUGGGUCUAAUACCGGAUAUGACUCCAUGACGCAUGUUGUGGGGUGGAAAGCCUUGUGCGGCUGAGGAUGGGCCCGCGGCCUAUCAGCUUGUUGGUGGGGUGANGGCCUACCAAGGCGACGACGGGUAGCCGGCCUGAGAGGGCGACCGGCCACACUGGGACUGAGACACGGCCCAGGCUCCUACGGGAGGCAGCAGUGGGGAAUCUUGCGCAAUGGGCGAGAGCCUGACGCAGCGACGCCG
This 370-nucleotide ribosomal RNA is filed under the name uncultured bacterium. Its description in RNAcentral is "bacterial SSU rRNA". It matches the Rfam family "Bacterial small subunit ribosomal RNA", at positions 28 to 399 of the family's 1533-position model. The record is from RNAcentral.